GCCGAGGUAGCUCAGCGGCAGAGCAGCUGAUUUGUAAUCAGCGGGUCGNGGGUUCGAAUCCCUNCCUCGGCUCCA
This 75-nucleotide transfer RNA is filed under the name Dictyoglomus thermophilum. RNAcentral describes it as "tRNA-Thr". It matches the Rfam family "tRNA". From Rfam's summary of the family: Transfer RNA (tRNA) molecules are approximately 80 nucleotides in length. Their secondary structure includes four short double-helical elements and three loops (D, anti-codon, and T loops). The record is from RNAcentral. Lineage: Bacteria; Pseudomonadati; Dictyoglomota; Dictyoglomia; Dictyoglomales; Dictyoglomaceae.